This 97-nucleotide small RNA is filed under the name Epilithonimonas lactis. RNAcentral's name for it is "Chryseobacterium halperniae Flavo-1 RNA". It matches the Rfam family "Flavo-1 RNA". The record is from RNAcentral. Lineage: Bacteria; Pseudomonadati; Bacteroidota; Flavobacteriia; Flavobacteriales; Weeksellaceae.
CUGCAAUAGGGAUAGUAGUGGAAAUCCUUUUUUUCUGCUGCCUUCGACUCCGCUGAGGCAGCAGAAAAAAAGAUUGCAGCGGAUAGCCCGACCCGAG